This is an RNA transcript of Clarias gariepinus (North African catfish), 7736 nucleotides long. It is a transcript of the gene named ATP-binding cassette, sub-family A (ABC1), member 4b, with no coding region annotated. The record is from RefSeq and is a predicted model, not a curated record. Lineage: Eukaryota; Metazoa; Chordata; Actinopteri; Siluriformes; Clariidae. The transcript has 53 exons.
GACUCGUCUGCACUGAAGGUGUGGUAUCCCCUCACAGUGACCCCCUCCUGGGGUUAAUCGGGGCAGGAAUGGACACCAGCAGUCAGAUUCGGCUUCUGCUGUGGAAAAACUGGACGCUGCGCAAGAGACAGAAAAUUCGGUUCUUGGUGGAGAUCGUGUGGCCCGCCCUCCUGCUCGCUGGACUCGUGUGGCUCCGCAGAGCGAAUCCUCUUUACCAACAACACGAGUGUCAUUUUCCCAACAAGGCUCUGCCUUCAGCAGGAAUUCUGCCGUGGAUUCAGGGAAUUUUCUGCAACGCUAACAAUCCCUGCUUCCGACACGCUACUCCGGGAGAAUCUCCAGGAAUCGUGUCCAAUUACAACAACUCCAUACUUGCUCGGUUUUACGCCGACGUUCAGGAGCUGCUGCUUACUGAUGCUGAGGUUCUGCAGCUGCAGCGACUCUGGCAGGAAGCGUCUGAUUUCAGCGACUUCAUGGACACGCUGAGGAAAGAUCCGAGCCGAGCGACAGGCAGAGGACUGAAGAUCGAGGACAUCCUGAAAGACGAUGAGACUCUGACGUCGUUCUUGCUGAGGGACGCCGGCCUGUCGGACUCCGUGGUCCAUCAGCUGACAAACGCCCGAGUGCGGGUCGAACAGUUUGUGUAUGGAGUUCCUGAUCUGACCCUACAGGAGAUCUCCUGCAGUCAGGUUCUUCUGGAGCGUUUCAUCAUCUUCCCAAUUCGCCGUGGAGUUCAUGGAGUUCGUAACGCCAUGUGCGCUCUCACACCGCAGAAACUGCAGCAGAUCGAAGACAAGCUCUACGCCAACGUUGACUUCUUUAAACUCUUCAGACUGUUGCCGAUGGUGUUGGAUAAUCACUCCAGUGGAGUCGACCUGCACUUCUGGGGGCGUGUCCUUUCUGUAGUGUCUGAGAAACUGCAGCAGUUGCUGAGCAGGCCGAGCUGCAUGGCGUUGGCGGCGGCUCUGCAGCCUGUGUUUGAGGACGGUGUCCCCUGGUCCUUCUCUCGACUCGUCUCUCUGAUGUCGGAUCUGUUCUGUGGUUACGAGUCGGUGGGAAACUCUCGCGUUCUCUCCUUUAACUGGUACGAAGACAACAACUUCAGAGUGUUCCUGGGAAUAAACUCCUCAAAUACACACAGCGGAUACACGUACGAUCACACGGCCUCUCCGUUCUGUAACAGUCUGAUGCAGAGUCUGGAGUCGAACCCUGUCACUAAAAUCAUGUGGAAUUCAGUGAAGCCUCUCGUGAUGGGUAAAAUCCUGUACACACCUGACGCUCCUGCUGUGCACAAGAUAGUGAAGAGUGCUAACAGCACCUUUGAAGAGUUGGAGCGGUUGAUAAACAUGGCAAAAGCGUGGGAGGAAGUGGCUCCUCAAAUCUGGCAUUUCUUUCAGGACAGCGUUCAGAUGAACAUGAUCCGGGACACACUUAGGAACCCGACAGUGAUGGAUUUUCUGGACCGGCGCCUGGAGGAGACUUCCUUCAGCAGCAAGCACAUCCUGAACUUCCUCCAUGGCGGCGGCGGCUCUAGAGACCGCUACGAGGACACGCCCGACUUCGACUGGAGGAACGUCUUCAACCUGACUGACCGACUCCUCAGCACCUUCACCCAGUACAGCCAGUGUAUAAACCUGGAUAAGUUUGUAGCCCAUGUGGAUGAGGAUCAGAUGAGCCAUCACGCCCUGCAUCUGCUGCAUGAGAACAAGUUCUGGGCGGGGGUGGUGUUUCUGGGUGUGUACCCGUGGACCACGGAGGUGCCGAGACACGUCACGUAUAAAAUCCGCAUGGACAUUGACGCGGUCGAGCGGACCAACAAGAUCAAAGACAGGUACUGGGACCCUGGGCCGAGGGCGGACCCCGUGGAGGACCUGCGUUACAUAUGGGGAGGAUUUGCGUAUCUGCAGGACAUGAUCGAGCACGGCGUCCUGAAGCUCCUGAGCGCUCCUCAGAUGCCGCUCGGGGUUUACGUCCAGCAGAUGCCCUACCCCUGCUACGUAGACGACAUGUUCAUGCUGACGCUGAACCGCUGCUUCCCGAUCUUCAUGGUCCUGGCGUGGGUCUACAGCGUGUCCAUGAUAGUGAAGAGCAUCGUGCUGGAGAAGGAGCUCAGGCUGAAGGAGACGCUGAAGGUCAUGGGCGUGACCAACGACGUCAUCUGGUGCACGUGGUUCCUCGACAGUUUCCUGAUGAUGACCUUCAGCACGGCUCUGCUCACCUUCAUCAUCAUGACUGGAAAGGUGCUGAACUACAGCAAUCCCAUCAUCCUCUUCUUCUUCCUGUUGACCUUCACCUUGGCCACUAUUAUGCAGUGUUUCCUGAUGAGUGUGUUCUUUAACAAGGCUAAUUUAGCAGCAGCGUGCAGCUGCAUCAUCUACUUCACCCUCUACCUGCCCCACAUCGUGUGUUUCGCCUGGCAGGACCGGAUCAGCGCCAGCUCCAAACUCGCCAUCAGUUUGUUGUCGCCGGUGGCAUUCGGGUUUGGUACGGAGUAUUUAUCCCGCUAUGAGGAGCAGGGCCUGGGGCUUCAGUGGGACAACAUCAGCACCAGUCCACUAGAGGGUGAUGAGUUCUCGUUCCUUAACUCCAUCCGCAUGAUGCUGUUUGAUUCGGUUCUUUACGGUGUGUUGGCCUGGUACCUCGAUAACGUCUUCCCAGGUCACUACGGAAUUGGGAAACCGUUUUAUUUUCCCGUGCAGACAUCCUUCUGGCAGACUGAACAGCGCCCCCAGGCUGACGUGGCUGAUCCAGCUCGCGAAACACCUCUGACAGAACAUCUGGAGAUGAAGGAGAAGGAGGUACAGACUCCUGACAUUAACCCUGAGCCCUCAGUGCUGAACCGCAGCGCCUCUCGCAGGCCAUGCAAACACCAGGACAAGAGGGAGAGGAUGGAGAGAGAGAGAAUGGAGAGGAGGAAGAGAGAGGAGGAAGGUCUGAAUCCUCAGGAGGAUCGACAGGUGGAGCACACGGAAAACCCGUUGUUCGAGGCAGAGCCUGAGGGCUUGGAGGUGGGUGUGCGUGUGAAGGAGCUCGUGAAGGUUUAUCCCGGAAGUUCUCGUCCAGCUGUUAACGGCCUCAGUUUGAACUUCUAUGAAGGACAGAUCACCUCGUUCCUGGGACACAACGGAGCGGGAAAGACCACCACACUGUCCAUCCUGACCGGUCUGUUUCCUCCCACGUCUGGAACGGCGAUCAUCAGCGGGAAGGACAUUCGCUCGGACAUGGACGUGAUUAGACGCUCCCUGGGGGUGUGUCCUCAGCACAACAUCCUGUUCAACCAUCUGACGGUAGAGGAACACGUCCUCUUCUACUCGCUGCUGAAAAGCCGAGAGCGUGAAGAAGCUGAACAGGAAGUGGAGGCCAUGCUGCAGGACCUGGGGUUAACCCACAAACGCCACGAGGAAGCGCAGAACCUCUCUGGUGGGAUGCAGAGGAAGUUGUCGGUUGCCAUGGCGUUUGUUGGAGGCUCCAAGGUGGUGAUUUUGGACGAGCCCACUUCAGGAGUUGACCCGUACUCCAGACGGUCCAUCUGGGAUUUACUCCUGAAGUACCGUGCAGGCCGCACGGUGAUUCUCUCCACCCACCACAUGGAUGAAGCUGAUCUUCUCAGUGAUCGAGUGGCGAUCCUUUCUAAAGGCCAGCUGCGCUGCUGCGGUUCUCCUCUCUUCCUGAAGAACUGCUUUGGUGUUGGGUUUUAUCUCACACUCGUCCGCCGUAUUAAAGACGUGCGAAAGAAAGAGAACGAGUGUGACUGUGCGUCCGAGUGUUCCUGCGCCUGCUCCACCUGCGGCAGGUUUAAAGAGGAGACUCGAAGCCAGCACAUGGACAGGAGCCUGGACGGUAAUGUGGAGAACAUCACCGCUCUCAUCCACCACCACGUUCCUGAGGCCAGGCUGAUCGAGGUGAUCGGUCAGGAGCUCACCUACCUGCUGCCAAAUAAAGGUUUUAAACACCGCUCGUACGCCAGCUUGUUCCGGGAGCUGGAGGAGACGCUCGGAGACGUCGGCCUGAGCAGCUUCGGCAUUUCAGACACCUCGCUGGAGGAGAUCUUCCUGAAGGUUACUGCAGAAGGAGAGGCGUGUAACGGCAACAUGCAGCCAGAGCAGUGGAUGUUACAGAGGAAGAAAAGCAGCAGUUUGUUGAGAGACACUAACAAAUCUGUGGCUCCUGAAGGAGGGAACGGAGCUCAGGAGAACGGCGUGGGGACAGGUGGUGCUUCGGAUAGUGGCACUGGGAAAGUCUUGGGACAGGUCAAAGGUCUCAGUCUGGUGAUGAAACAGUUUCACGCUUUACUGGUGAAGAGAUUUCAUCACGCAACGCGCAGCUCCGAGGACUUUCUCGCUCAGAUUGUUCUGCCAGCGAGCUUCGUGUUAGUUGCUUUGUUCUUUACUCUGAUCGUCCCUCCGUUUGGCGAGUACCCGAGUCUAACACUCACACCCUGGAUGUACGGACAGCAGCUCACCUUCUUAAGUAACGAGCGUCCGUCCCAUCCCACCAUGAGACACUUCAUCUACACGCUGCUGAGAGACCCGGGGAUGGGGACGCGCUGUAUGAAGGACCAGCCGCUAGAGAACUUGCCAUGUGGGAAUGUUACGACAGAUUGGGACGUUCCACCCGUUUCUCCAGUGAUUAGUAACAUCUUGCUGAGCCCUGAGUGGACGGAGCGGAACCCCUCCCCUUCCUGUCAGUGCAGCACCAAUCAGAAGCUCACGAUGCUCCCGGUCUGUCCAAUCGGAGCAGGAGGACUGCCUCCACGCCAGAGGAAGGAAGCGACAGGAGACACUCUGCUCGACCUGACAGACAGAAACAUGUCCGACUACCUGGUGAAGACGUAUCCCAGUCUCAUCAGGACCAGCUUAAAGAGUAAAUACUGGGUGAACGAGCAGAGGUACGGCGGUCUGUCUGUCGGUGGCCAACUUCCUGUUGUGCACGUGGAUCCUGUAACCAUACAGAACUUCCUGUACCAGCUCGGGAACAUGAUGAACAUCACUGGGGGUCCCUACUGCAGACUCGCUGUUGAAGAACUCGGACCGUUCCUGCACCACAUGGAAAGCGAAUAUAACGUGAAGGUGUGGUUUAGUAAUAAAGGGUGGCACUCCAUGGUGGCCUUCGUGAACAUAGCGAACAACGCCAUCCUGCGCGCUAACCUUCCCUUUCACGCUGAUCCGUCUGAAUUCGGCAUCACCGCCAUCAACCACCCCCUCAACCUGACCAAGGAGCAGCUCUCUGAUGUCACAAUCUUGACCACGUCUGUGGACGCCAUGGUGGCCAUUUGCGUGAUCUUCGCCAUGUCCUUUGUCCCGGCGAGUUUCGUCCUCUACCUCAUCCAGGAGCGAGCGACGAAGGCCAAACACCUGCAGUUCGUUAGUGGGGUCAGUCCUCUCAUUUACUGGCUCACCAACUUCUUCUGGGACAUGGUGAAUUACUCCAUCAGCACAGUCAUGGUCGUCUUCAUCUUCAUCGCUUUUGAUAAAAAAUGCUACACGUCCCCCAGGAACCUGCCAGCGCUCAUCACCCUGCUGAGCUUAUACGGGUGGUCCGUGACGCCGAUGAUGUACCCCAUGUCGUACGUGUUCAGUGUUCCCAGCACCGCGUACGUCUCUCUGUCCUGCAUUAACCUGUUCAUCGGGAUUAACAGCAGCGCCAUUACCUUCAUCCUUGAGCUCUUUGAGAACAACAGGUCCCUGCUCCUGUUUAAUGAGGGAUUAAAGAAGGUGCUGCUGAUUUUCCCUCAUUUCUGUUUGGGGCGGGGCCUGAUCGACCUGGCCAUGAACCAGGCGGUGACCGACGUCUACGCCCGAUUUGGGGAGGAGUUUGUUCUGGACCCGUUCAAGUGGGACUUUGUGGGGAAGUACGUGGUGUGUAUGGCACUGGAGGGUUUCAUCUACUUCAGCUUUACUCUCCUCAUUCAGUACAGGUUCUUCCUGGAUCACUGGUUAUGUGACUACAGUCAGAUCCCAGCUCCUGAUGAAGAUGAUGAUGUUGCUCAGGAGAGACAGAGGAUUUACAGCAGGACACAAAACAACGACAUCCUGCACGUCCGAGAUCUCACCAAGGUGUACGUGGGGAGGAAGAGGCCGGCGGUGGAUCGGAUCUGUGUUGGUGUUCCACCUGGGGAGUGUUUUGGGCUGCUCGGUGUAAACGGUGCUGGAAAAACUACCACUUUUAAAAUGCUGACUGGAGACACAGACGUGACCUCCGGUGAGGCCUCGGUAGCCGGAUACAGUAUUCUAACCAACAUCCUGGAUGUGCAUCAGAACAUGGGCUACUGUCCACAGUUCGACGCGAUCGAUGAGCUGCUGACGGGCCGAGAGCACCUGUACCUGUACGCGCGGCUCCGGGGAGUUCCCGAGUCCGAGAUCAGCAGAGUGGCGCAGUGGUGCGUAGAUAAAAUUGGCCUGUCGGAGUAUGCAGGUCUCUGUGCUGGAACGUACAGCGGAGGAAACAAGAGGAAGCUGUCAACUGCAAUCGCCAUGAUCGGCUGCCCACCUCUACUGCUGCUGGAUGAACCCACCAGUGGGAUGGAUCCUCACUCACGCCGCUUCAUGUGGAACGCCAUCAUGAGCGUCAUACGAGACGGCAGAGCUGUAGUUCUAACAUCACACAGUAUGGAGGAGUGUGAAGCGUUGUGCACUCGUUUGGCCAUCAUGGUGAACGGCACAUUCAAAUGUCUUGGCACAAUCCAACACCUCAAGUACAAGUUCGGAGACGGUUACGUGGUGACGAUGAAGAUCCGAGCGGCUCGAGCCGGUUCCUCUCCGGACCUCGGUCCUGCUGAAGCGUUCAUGGAGAGCAACUUUCCGAAAUGUGUGCAGCGCGAGAAACACUACAACACGCUGCAGUAUGAGAUCGGCUCGUCAUCGCUCGCUCGAGUCUUCCAGCUGGUGGCAGAAAACAAACACAAACUCAACAUCGAGGACUACUCCGUGUCUCAGACCACGCUGGACCAGGUGUUUGUGAAUUUUGCGAAGCAGCAGUCGGCUGAGGAUGAUGAUGAUGUCGUUCUUCAUCCCAGAGCAGCCGGAGCCAGACGAGAGGCAAAAAUCUCACCUGUUAAGGCCGCUUCCAAAAAAUAACCAUCAUUGCCAGCUGUUAGUGUUGCGGUGCUGAAGGUGUGUUUAAGGUGACAUCAGUGCAGCGACGCUACGAUGAGGAACUGAAGCCGUUUUACCAGGAUGGAGUUUCAGAGCCUGUCUCGCUGGAUACCACCGCGGAUCUGCAACAGAGCCAUGGUUUCUACUGGACAUGUUUUACCCUCGUGGUGUCACCAGGCGUCUCCAUCACACUCAUUCAGGAUGUUUUUCUAAUCCCAUAAAGGUGAGGUUUAGAUCUAUCCCUCCCGGGUUUAGUCCUGUGCUGCAGUGUGGAGCCGACGUGUGUUAGUCAGUGCAGUAAUUCAUUAAUAAAUGUCAGUGCAGAUUAAUAAAUGCAUCGAGGUAUUUCUUGCCCAGGUGUAAACCAGUGUUAAUCAGGAAUGAAAAUGUUUUAAACAGCAAAUAAAUCCAGACUAAAGAUUAGACCAGAGUUUGGGUUUCUGUUAAAGUGACGCACCUUGUCCAGGUAGCAGAGCUGUGUCCUGGUUUUGGGGUCCAGAACCUCCACCUCGAAAAAAACAUAGUUUUUGACCUUUUGCACUUCUCCAGCUUUUAGGCCGUGAUCACAUCUGGCUUUAAUAAACUGAGCGACGGUGAAUAAAUCCCUUAACUGUAUGCCGUCCAUGCUGCACACAGGAACCG